GAUGAACGCUGGCGGCGUGCUUAAGACAUGCAAGUCGAACGCAGAGAAUGCAGCAAUGCAGGCUCUGAGUGGCGAAUGGGUGCGUAACACGUAGGUGACCUGCCCUAAAGUGGGGAAUAACAGUCCGAAAGGACUGCUAAUACCGCAUACGGUUCCAGGGGUUAGAGAACUGGAAGCAAAGCUGCUCGUAAGAGUGGCGCUUUAGGAGGGCCUGCGGCCCAUCAGGUAGUUGGUGGGGUAAUGGCCUACCAAGCCGACGACGGGUAGGGGACC
Molecule: ribosomal RNA, 273 nt
Filed under: uncultured bacterium
Lineage: Bacteria
Description: partial 16S ribosomal RNA
Rfam family: Bacterial small subunit ribosomal RNA
Source: RNAcentral